Mobula hypostoma (lesser devil ray) is the source of this 355-nucleotide long non-coding RNA. RefSeq lists it as uncharacterized. The record is from RefSeq and is a predicted model, not a curated record. NCBI's taxonomy places the organism in Eukaryota, Metazoa, Chordata, Chondrichthyes, Myliobatiformes, Myliobatidae. The transcript is spliced from 3 exons.
AAAACAUGCAGGUUCUCUACUACCUGCUCACUGCACACACAGCCUACAGAAUCUCUGCUCUGGAAAAGUGAGUAUGGAACUGGAGGAGAUAGCAGAGGUCAGGCUUGUUUUCUGUAAGUUUGUGAAUCAACUUUCCAUGGACGAUCAACUAUUUCAACGAAACAACAAACAAGAUGGCAAGCCGCUCAAGAUGAAGGACCAGCACGGAAGCAGUGUUUCAUGACGUAGAGGAUUAAAUACGCUGCAACAAUCCGGGAAACGGUAUCACAGCAUAAAAGCCAGGAACAACAGGCUCCAGGACAGCUUCUUCCACCAGGUCAUCAGACUGAUGAACUCACACUGACUUGAGUGUAUU